This 253-nucleotide ribosomal RNA is filed under the name uncultured bacterium. Its description in RNAcentral is "partial 16S ribosomal RNA". It matches the Rfam family "Bacterial small subunit ribosomal RNA", at positions 524 to 776 of the family's 1533-position model. The record is from RNAcentral.
UACGUAGGGGGCUAGCGUUGUCCGGAAUCAUUGGGCGUAAAGCGCGUGUAGGCGGUUCGGUAAGUCCGCUGUGAAAGUCGGGGGCUCAACCCUCGGAUGCCGGUGGAUACUGUCGGACUAGAGUACGGAAGAGGCGAGUGGAAUUCCUGGUGUAGCGGUGAAAUGCGUAGAUAUCAAGCAGAACACCGGUGGCGAAGGCGGCCUUCUGGACGAUGACUGACGCUGAGACGCGAAAGCGUGGGGAGCAAACAGG